AGUAAUAUAUUGGAACGUGCCCAGUAGUGGGGGAUAGCCCGGCGAAAGCCGGAUUAAUACCGCAUACGACCUACGGGUGAAAGGGGGGAUCGCAAGACCUCUCGCUAUUGGAGCGGCCGAUAUCAGAUUAGCUAGUUGGUGGGGUAAAAGCUCACCAAGGCGACGAUCUGUAGCUGGUCUGAGAGGACGACCAGCCACACUGGGACUGAGACACGGCCCAG
RNAcentral lists this ribosomal RNA (221 nucleotides) under uncultured bacterium. Its description in RNAcentral is "partial 16S ribosomal RNA". It matches the Rfam family "Bacterial small subunit ribosomal RNA", at positions 109 to 334 of the family's 1533-position model. The record is from RNAcentral.